GUAUUUUUAAGAUUUAUAUUCGAAAUUUUGAUGAUUUUAGCUACAUUAUUCACCGCAGGUCUACGUCGUCGUAUAGACCCUAAUAUAACGGCUACAUUAGGUAUUUUUAAGACGGAUUUUAUUUUUGAAAAUUGCCCAAAUCGGCCGGCCGAACUUACUGCUUUUUUACUUGUUAGUAAUAUUUUCGGAUACCUAAAAUUGGUUUAAUCUCUCUCUUUCUCUCUCUCUCUCUGAAAACGGCGUAUUUAAUAUUGUUAGUAAGGUCGGUCAUAUUUUACUCUUGUUCGUAGCAACAAUCAUAAAUUUCCCAUCUGUAUUCAUUAAUCGUUUUACUAAUUAAUAGUAGAAUUAAAUAAGCGAGACCAUUUGUGUUUAUCUUAAGUAAAAUAAAGCCCACGAUAUUAAUUAAAUAGCAUUUGUGCCAAUAUUUGUUAAAGGUACUGCAAAAUAUCUAUAAGUAGCCGCAAUUUUCAAUAAAGUGAGAUAUAUUGAUAUUUUUUAAGUCCAGUCAUGAAAUUUUUCAUUGCAUGUUUGAUUGGUGUAAUAACUCUGUUGGCAUUUGGCCAAGCAAAGAGUACAACUUUGAUAGCCGAGAAAGCUCAAGAUGACAAUCAUGGUGUACAGGAAGAUCAAAAUGGUGGUGAUGUGAUUCCUCCGCUCGUACAUGUCCUAUUUGAUUUUGGAUCUAACAAUUUUUUUGGACGCCCCACUACUCCUACAACAACUACUGCACGGUACUAGUUUUGAAAUGAAAAUAAAACUUAAUAAAAUAACCAUAAAAGUUUAAAAGCAAAAGUGAAUAUUGAAAAAUAUAAAAUUUAUAUUGGUUUAAAUGUCUUAAUAAAAACAUUAAUUGAAAUAAAAAGAACAGUUA
This is a long non-coding RNA of Musca domestica (house fly), 874 nucleotides long. RefSeq lists it as uncharacterized. The record is from RefSeq and is a predicted model, not a curated record. NCBI's taxonomy places the organism in Eukaryota, Metazoa, Arthropoda, Insecta, Diptera, Muscidae. The transcript is spliced from 2 exons.